GACGAACGCUGGCGGCGUGCUUAACACAUGCAAGUCGAACGGAAAGGCCUCUUCGGAGGUACUCGAGUGGAGAACGGGUGAGUAACACGUGGGUGAUCUGCCCUGCCCUCUGGGUUACGCCUGGGAAACUGGGUCUAAUACCGGAUAGGACCGCACUUUUGCGUGAGUGGUGGAAAGUUUUUUCGGUGUUGGUUGAGCACGCGGCCUAUCAGCUUGUUGGUGGGGUAAUGGCCUACCAAGGCGGCGACGUGUAGCCGGACUGAGAGGGUGAUCGGCCACAGUGGGACUGGGAUUGAGACCAGACUCCUACGGGAAGGAGCAGUAGGGGAGGGUGCACUAGGGGCGUAAGCCUGAUGCAGCUGCGCCGCGGGGGGGAGGACGGCCUUGUGGUUGUAAACGCCUAUCGCCAGGAGCGAAGCGGUUUGUGACGGUACCUGGAGAAGAAGCACCGGCUAACUACGUG
RNAcentral lists this ribosomal RNA (463 nucleotides) under uncultured bacterium. RNAcentral describes it as "partial 16S ribosomal RNA". It matches the Rfam family "Bacterial small subunit ribosomal RNA", at positions 28 to 507 of the family's 1533-position model. The record is from RNAcentral.